This 253-nucleotide ribosomal RNA is filed under the name uncultured prokaryote. Its description in RNAcentral is "partial 16S ribosomal RNA". It matches the Rfam family "Bacterial small subunit ribosomal RNA", at positions 524 to 776 of the family's 1533-position model. The record is from RNAcentral.
UACGUAGGGACCAAGCGUUGUUCGGAUUUACUGGGCGUAAAGGGCGCGUAGGCGGCAAUUCGAGUCAGCUGUGAAAUCUCCGGGCUUAACUCGGAACGGUCAGCUGAUACUGCUUUGCUAGAGUGCGGAAGGGGCAACUGGAAUUCUCGGUGUAGCGGUGAAAUGCGUAGAUAUCGAGAGGAACACCUGCGGCGAAGGCGGGUUGCUGGGCCGACACUGACGCUGAAGUGCGAAAGCUAGGGGAGCGAACGGG